RNAcentral lists this long non-coding RNA (328 nucleotides) under Androctonus crassicauda. Lineage: Eukaryota; Metazoa; Arthropoda; Arachnida; Scorpiones; Buthidae. The record is from RNAcentral.
GUCGGUUUGGCUCGAGGUGUUGAAAAUAUCACAUCGUAUUUAAAAACAGUAUUUUCUCGUAUCUAUGCCGGAGGCGGUUCGCACCCCAGUGUUGCUGUUGUCUGCAUCGGAAGCGGCUUUCAUCCGCAAUAACAUGUUGUUCGCGGUGCUUCUGUGUGCCCUUUGGUUUCAAUAUAGCACUUCUGGGCGCGGUGCAUCUAUUUGCGAGGAGCUUUCGUCCCUGUAUGGCGGGGCCGCCUCGGUGCUUCUGGUGGGGAGCAACUUUCAUCCAUGUAUGGCGGUGAUGCCUCUAAUCGUCAUGCAUCUAUUUGCGAGAAACUUUCAUCCU